This 477-nucleotide ribosomal RNA is filed under the name uncultured bacterium. RNAcentral's name for it is "bacterial SSU rRNA". It matches the Rfam family "Bacterial small subunit ribosomal RNA", at positions 365 to 832 of the family's 1533-position model. The record is from RNAcentral.
UUCGCAAUGCCCGAAAGGGUGACGAAGCGACGCCGCGUGUGGGAAGAAGGCCUUCGGGUUGUAAACCACUGUCGGGAGUUAAGAAAUACAAGGAUAUGAAUAGUGUCUUUGUUUGACUAAGGCUCCGGAGGAGGCCACGGCUAACUUUGUGCCAGCAGCCGCGGUAAUACAGAGGCGGCAAGCGUUGUUCGGAAUUAUUGGGCGUAAAGAGCACGUAGGCGGCUAUGUAAGUCGGUUGUGAAAGCCUUCCGCUCAACGGAAGAACAGCAUCCGAUACUACAUGGCCUGAGUGCGGGAGGGGAGAGUGGAACUUCUGGUGGAGCGGUGAAAUGCGUAGAUAUCAGAAGGAACGCCGGCGGCGAAAGCGGCUCUCUGGCCCAUAACUGACGCUGAGUGUGCGAAAGCUAGGGGAGCAAACGGGAUUAGAUACCCCGGUAGUCCUAGCCGUAAACGAUGGGCACUAAGUAGAGGGGUUUU